RNAcentral lists this non-coding RNA (30 nucleotides) under Rattus norvegicus (Norway rat). The record is from RNAcentral. Lineage: Eukaryota; Metazoa; Chordata; Mammalia; Rodentia; Muridae.
GCUUAUCUGCUUAUGAGUGGCACAUGCUAC